Molecule: ribosomal RNA, 615 nt
Filed under: Ochthebius legionensis
Lineage: Eukaryota; Metazoa; Arthropoda; Insecta; Coleoptera; Hydraenidae
Description: partial 16S ribosomal RNA
Rfam family: Bacterial large subunit ribosomal RNA (bases 379-537)
Source: RNAcentral
GUCUUUUUGAUUAUAAUUUAAAGUCUAAUCUGCCCAAUGAGUAUUUAAAUGGCUGCGGUAUUUUGACCGUACAAAGGUAGCAUAAUCAUUAGUUUUUUAAUUGAAAGCUAGAAUGAAUGAUUGAACGAGAAAAUUACUGUCUCAAUUUAAUUUUUUUAGAAUUUUAUUUUUAAGUCAAAAAGCUUAAAUAAUUUUUAAAGACGAGAAGACCCUAUAGAGUUUAAUAUUUUUAAAUAUAAUAAAUUUUAUGAAUAUUAUAAAUUUUUAAAAAUAUUUUGUUGGGGUGAUAAUUAAAUUUAAAAAACUUUAAUUUUUAAUUACAUAAAUUUAUGAAUAUAUGAUCCAUUUAUAAUGAUUAAAAGAUUAAAUUACCUUAGGGAUAACAGCGUAAUUUUUUUUGAGAGUUCUAAUCGAAAAAAAAGAUUGCGACCUCGAUGUUGGAUUAAAAUUAAAUUUUGGUGUAGAAGCUAAAACUUUAAGUCUGUUCGACUUUUAAAAUUUUACAUGAUCUGAGUUUAAACCGGUGUGAGCCAGGUUGGUUUCUAUCUUAAAAUAAUUUAAAUAUUUUAGUACGAAAGGACCAAAUAUUUAUAAUAAUUAUUAAUUUAUGAAUAU